GACGAACGCUGGCGGCGUGCUUAACACAUGCAAGUCGAGCGGUAAGGCCCUUUCGGGGGUACACGAGCGGCGAACGGGUGAGUAACACGUGGGUGACCUGCCCUUAGCUCUGGGAUAAGCCUGGGAAACUGGGUCUAAUACCGGAUAUGACUCCAUGACGCAUGUUGUGGGGUGGAAAGCCUUGUGCGGCUAGGGAUGGGCCUGCGGCCUAUCAGCUUGUUGGUGGGGUGAUGGCCUACCAAGGCGACGACGGGUAGCCGGCCUGAGAGGGCGACCGGCCACACUGGGACUGAGACACGGCCCAGACUCCUACGGGAGGCAGCAGUGGGGAAUCUUGCGCAAUGGGCGAAAGCCUGACGCAGCGACGCCGCGGUGGGGAUG
This 381-nucleotide ribosomal RNA is filed under the name uncultured bacterium. RNAcentral's name for it is "bacterial SSU rRNA". It matches the Rfam family "Bacterial small subunit ribosomal RNA", at positions 28 to 410 of the family's 1533-position model. The record is from RNAcentral.